This is a long non-coding RNA of Hyaena hyaena (striped hyena), 409 nucleotides long. RefSeq lists it as uncharacterized. The transcript is spliced from 3 exons. The record is from RefSeq and is a predicted model, not a curated record. NCBI's taxonomy places the organism in Eukaryota, Metazoa, Chordata, Mammalia, Carnivora, Hyaenidae.
UUUCCUUUAAGACAUUGCUUGUCAUGAGGCUCCCAUCUGUUUUGUUCAGAUGAAUUCUCCAAUUUUAGGCAUUUUCUUCCUUGAACUUUUUUUUUUUUUUUUUUGGUCACGAGACCACCCUUUGUUCACACAAGUAUCAACUGGACUGGCCAAGCCACUAUCCUUUGACACCACCAUUCCAUGAAAGGUGAGGCAGUGAGCCCAAUCCCGGUCUGCUCUGUGCAGGACCCACUUCAAGAGGGUCUGUUGUUUGUCAUUUUCAGUCUUCCCACUCAGCGUUGCUGUAAUCCCUGGACUCCAUCAGAGUUGAGGAAGUGGUGUAAGACAGACAGACAGACAGACAGAUAAACAGACAGAUCAAGGUUGCAAAAGUCUGAGGAAGAAAGAGAGAGAGAGCGCGCGCAGGAGA